This 512-nucleotide ribosomal RNA is filed under the name uncultured bacterium. RNAcentral's name for it is "partial 16S ribosomal RNA". It matches the Rfam family "Bacterial small subunit ribosomal RNA", at positions 28 to 507 of the family's 1533-position model. The record is from RNAcentral.
GAUGAACGCUGGCGGCGUGCCUAAUACAUGCAAGUCGAACGAAACUUCUUUAUCACCGAGUGCUUGCACUCACCGAUAAAGAGUUGAGUGGCGAACGGGUGAGUAACACGUGGGCAACCUGCCCAAAAGAGGGGGAUAACACUUGGAAACAGGUGCUAAUACCGCAUAACCAUAGUUACCGCAUGGUAACUAUGUAAAAGGUGGCUAUACUACCGCUUUUGGAUGGGCCCGCGGCGCAUUUGCUAGUUGGUAGGGUAAAGGCUUACCAAGGCAAUGAUGCGUAGCCGAAUUGAGAGGUUGAUCGGCCACAUUGGGACUGAGACACGGCCCAAACUCCUACGGGAGGCAGCAGUAGGGAAUCUUCCACAAUGGGCGAAAGCCUGAUGGAGCAACGCCGCGUGGGUGAAGAAGGUCUUCGGAUCGUAAAACCCUGUUGUUAGAGAAGAAAGUGCGUGAGAGUAACUGUUCACGUUUCGACGGUAUCUAACCAGAAAGCCACGGCUAACUACGUG